Molecule: long non-coding RNA, 563 nt
Filed under: Actinidia chinensis (golden kiwifruit)
Lineage: Eukaryota; Viridiplantae; Streptophyta; Magnoliopsida; Ericales; Actinidiaceae
Description: long non-coding RNA (ACHI_LNC000347)
Source: RNAcentral
GUUUUUUAUAUUUUUUGCUAAUAGCACUAUUAGUUUUUUUUCUUCAAAGUAAAAUAUUUAGGAAAUAAGUAGGAAACAUUUUAGAGUCAUUUGGAUCACUAAAUUCACUUUCUCGGAAUAGAAUUGUACUGUGUUUCGGGAUGUAUGCUCGAAUUCGUAAAUUGCAAGAGCAAGCGCAUAUUAUGGCAACACCAGUCUAGAGCCUGGACAAUGGUAGAGCUACACUGGGAGCUACACUGGGACCAGAAGAGGCACGUCCCCUUCUCAUGUUUUGAAAACCCACGAUUUUUAGAUAUGUUUCAAUUUGCGCCUCUAAUAUUUCAUGUAUUGGCUGUUUAAAUCUUCUACCUCUCUUUUUUCUUUCACUUUUAGCAAAAUCUCUGCAAUUUGAUCAUUUCAAGUUUUAUUUGCAAAAAGGUCCCUCUUUUGGAUGUUCUUUAGACAGAAUUCAAGGUACUUGAGUUUUUAGUUAUACUGAUUUGAUAAGGAAAAAAAUUGUGCAAAUGAUUGAAACAAUGAUACAAAUACAAUAACCCCAUAGAGGUUGGCCAUGUAGUCUAGAC